CAAUUAAUAGUUUAUUAAAAUAAUAAUUUUGGAGAUUAUAGAAAUAAUUUAGUUAUUUAAUUGA
This 64-nucleotide transfer RNA is filed under the name Cheumatopsyche sp. XG-2022. RNAcentral describes it as "tRNA-Pro". Lineage: Eukaryota; Metazoa; Arthropoda; Insecta; Trichoptera; Hydropsychidae. The record is from RNAcentral.